Molecule: ribosomal RNA, 213 nt
Filed under: uncultured Lactobacillus sp.
Lineage: Bacteria; Bacillati; Bacillota; Bacilli; Lactobacillales; Lactobacillaceae
Description: partial 16S ribosomal RNA
Rfam family: Bacterial small subunit ribosomal RNA
Source: RNAcentral
CCUGGAAACAGAUGCUAAUACCGGAUAACAAUAGAUGAUGCCUAUCAACUGUUUAAAAGAUGGUUCUGCUAUCACUCUUGGAUGGACCUGCGGUGCAUUAGCUAGUUGGUAGGGUAACGGCCUACCAAGGCGAUGAUGCAUAGCCGAGUUGAGAGACUGAUCGGCCACAUUGGGACUGAGACACGGCCCAAACUCCUACGGGAGGCAGCAGCG